Molecule: ribosomal RNA, 421 nt
Filed under: uncultured bacterium
Lineage: Bacteria
Description: bacterial SSU rRNA
Rfam family: Bacterial small subunit ribosomal RNA
Source: RNAcentral
UAAGGAAUAUUGGUCAAUGGACGCAAGUCUGAACCAGCCAUGCCGCGUGAAGGAUGAAGGCCCUCUGGAUUGUAAACUUCUUUUAUCUGGGACGAAAACGGGAUUUUUAUCUCAAUUGACGGUACCAGAGGAAUAAGCACCGGCUAACUCCGUGCCAGCAGCCGCGGUAAUACGGAGGGUGCGAGCGUUAUCCGGAUUUACUGGGUUUAAAGGGUGCGUAGGUGGGCUUAUAAGUCAGUGGUGAAAUCUCCGAGCUUAACUUGGAAACUGCCGUUGAUACUAUAGGUCUUGAAUUAUCUGGAGGUAAGCGGAAUAUGUCAUGUAGCGGUGAAAUGCUUAGAUAUGACAUAGAGCACCAAUUGCGAAGGCAGCUUACUACAUAUAAAUUGACGCUGAGGCACGAAAGCGUGGGGAUCAAACA